This 256-nucleotide ribosomal RNA is filed under the name uncultured bacterium. RNAcentral's name for it is "partial small subunit ribosomal RNA". It matches the Rfam family "Bacterial small subunit ribosomal RNA", at positions 26 to 285 of the family's 1533-position model. The record is from RNAcentral.
AGGACGAACGCUGGCGGCGUGCUUAACACAUGCAAGUCGAGCGGUGAUCCUCCUUCGGGAGGUGAUCAGCGGCGAACGGGUGAGUAACACGUGGGCAACCUGCCCCUCACACUGGGAUAACCUCGGGAAACUGGGGCUAAUACCGGAUACGACCUCGAGCGGCAUCUCUUGAGGUGGAAAGCUCCGACGGUGAGGGAUGGGCCCGCGGCCUAUCAGCUUGUUGGUGGGUAAUGGCCUACCAAGGCGACGACGGGUA